CACACUCCAUAGUGGGACAUCAUGGGAUGCUGGGAGCCUUGGGACACAGUUCACACUCCAUAUCUCUCCGUUUGGCAGCCCUGUCCCAUUCAGUUCAAGGUGUUGGCAUUGUUGACGUGGUUCACCAGGAGCUGUGCGUGGGGCUGGAGCGUGGACGUCCACCAGCUUGUGUCUCCUGGCAAGCUGUUGGCUGCAGCUCUUGGUAGAGAGGGGGUGCCAAGCAGCUGGUCUGGGCAGACCCAGAAACAUCCAAGAGGUGUCCAAGGGAGAGGUCCCCAUGUGUUGGGCAGGAUGUUGUGUGAGGGAUAAACAUGACCUUUCCAGGA
This is a long non-coding RNA of Vidua macroura (Pin-tailed whydah), 326 nucleotides long. RefSeq lists it as uncharacterized. NCBI's taxonomy places the organism in Eukaryota, Metazoa, Chordata, Aves, Passeriformes, Viduidae. The record is from RefSeq and is a predicted model, not a curated record. The transcript has 2 exons.